AAGUUCAGAACAGCCACCUUUGGUGCCCAUAAUGUAGCACCGUGUGUGUCUCCUGGCCUGGGGCUGCACAGGACACUGUUAGGGUAUUUUUUUCUCUCUCUUUUCAUGGAGUUUUACAAAUUUGCAAUACCUUUUUCUUUAAAGUCAGCAGUCAGGUAGCUUGAACAUAGCCUUUCUCCUGAACAUUUCAGGAGGUGACUUUCAAUGUAGCUGUCCUUCGUUUAGACAGGCCAAGCAGGGAUCUGAACUGAACCCUUCUGGGAUUUUGUCAGGAUUCUUUCAACAACCCUUAGACUACUUUCCUCAGUUCUAUUUCUGGCUCUCUGAAUUUGUGGAAAAUUGCUUAAAAUCAUCCCCUUUUGCUAAGCAUUUAAGCUGAUAACUAUUGAACUAUGAUCCAUUAUGUGUUAUUAUCACACCAGCUGUGCUUUGCUUGGCAAACAGCAACAGACCUGGUAUCAUGGCACACAUCCAGGUACAUCUAUCAGCAGUAUUGUCUAACAAUGCUCUUUAUAAAUGGCAAGAGCUGAAAUGGAACAAAAAACCCCAUAUUUUUCUUCAGCAUAUACAAACCCAGCUUCCCCUGUGAUGGAACACAGCUCCAUAUAGUUUAGAGCUUUCAUGGACAACAAUAUAUUUUAGUCAUCUUUUCUUAUGGUUAAUGAUGACAGAAUACAUUUUUUUUCUUAGCUUUGUUCUCUGAUGGUUUUUUCCUCUGCUAUUUUUAUACUCCCAACUUGUUCUGCUUUAUCUCCCUUUCUGAUAUUUUUGCAAGAUUCUGUCCAUCUUUGUGUUAACUUUCUCGAUGACAAAGCCUCUAGCAGGGUUUUAGUCUGAGGGCUGUCUACUUCCUGAAGCAAUUACAAGCUUCAGCUUCUCAGCAGGCAAGCCCAAAGCUUGUCCACCAGGUCCUGGAGCCGGAGAAUAUUUUUCUUAUCCUCCUCAGACUGUGGGAAGUGAAAAUCACAUUGGCUUCAGAUCACAGAAGUGAUGCACAUAAGGGGGCAGAGGAUUUGAAUUACCUGGUGCCUCUUGAGCUCCUCAAUCUGUUGGGUGAAAGCCUGCUUGCCUCUUGACAGCUGAGAAAUCAGAGCAUCUUUCUCCUCCACCUGGCGCGAGUAUUCCCCUGAGGGAAGUCAGAUGAGUAAAGGAGCUUCUUUAUGCCUUACUGAAAAGUGUCAACCUUGAUAAUUAAAUGCAUAUAAAAAUA
Molecule: long non-coding RNA, 1210 nt
Organism: Pezoporus flaviventris
Lineage: Eukaryota; Metazoa; Chordata; Aves; Psittaciformes; Psittacidae
Exons: 3
Source: RefSeq, a predicted model, not a curated record